RNAcentral lists this ribosomal RNA (1360 nucleotides) under uncultured bacterium. RNAcentral's name for it is "16S ribosomal RNA". It matches the Rfam family "Bacterial small subunit ribosomal RNA". The record is from RNAcentral.
UUAGAGUUUGAUCCUGGCUCAAGACGACCUUUGGCGGCGCGCCUAACACAUGCAAGUCGAACGAGAGAGAGGGAGCUUGCUUCCUCAAUCGAGUGGCGAACGGGUGAGUAACGCGUGAGGAACCUGCCUCAAAGAGGGGGACAACAGUUGGAAACGACUGCUAAUACCGCAUAAGCCCACAGGUCGGCAUCGACCAGAGGGAAAAGGAGCAAUCCGCUUUGAGAUGGCCUCGCGUCCGAUUAGCUAGUUGGUGAGGUAAUGGCCCACCAAGGCAACGAUCGGUAGCCGGACUGAGAGGUUGAACGGCCACAUUGGGACUGAGACACGGCCCAGACUCCUACGGGAGGCAGCAGUGGGGAAUAUUGCACAAUGGGGGAAACCCUGAUGCAGCGACGCCGCGUGGAGGAAGAAGGUCUUCGGAUUGUAAACUCCUGUUGUUGAGGAAGAUAAUGACGGUACUCAACAAGGAAGUGACGGCUAACUACGUGCCAGCAGCCGCGGUAAAACGUAGGUCACAAGCGUUGUCCGGAAUUACUGGGUGUAAAGGGAGCGCAGGCGGGAAGACAAGUUGGAAGUGAAAUCUAUGGGCUCAACCCAUAAACUGCUUUCAAAACUGUUUUUCUUGAGUAGUGCAGAGGUAGGCGGAAUUCCCGGUGUAGCGGUGGAAUGCGUAGAUAUCGGGAGGAACACCAGUGGCGAAGGCGGCCUACUGGGCACCAACUGACGCUGAGGCUCGAAAGUGUGGGUAGCAAACAAGAUUAGAUACCCCUGGUAGUCCACACCGUAACGGAUGAUUACUAGGUGUUGGAGGGUUGACCCCUUCAGUGCCGCAGUUACCACAAUAAGUAAUCCACCUGGGGAGUACGCCCGCAAGGUUGAAACUCAAAGGAAUUGACGGGGGCCCGCACAAGCAGUGGAGUAUGUGGUUUAAUUCGACGCAACGCGAAGAACCUUACCAAGUCUUGACAUCCCUUGACGAACAUAGAAAUAUGUUUUCUCUUCGGAGCAAGGAGACAGGUGGUGCAUGGUUGUCGUCAGCUCGUGUCGUGAGAUGUUGGGUUAAGUCCCGCAACGAGCGCAACCCUUACUGUCAGUUACUACGCAAGAGGACUCUGGCAGGACUGCCGUUGACAAAACGGAGGAAGGUGGGGAUGACGUCAAAUCAUCAUGCCCUUUAUGACUUGGGCUACACACGUACUACAAUGGCGUUAAACAAAGAGAAGCAAGACCGCGAGGUGGAGCAAAACUCAGAAACAACGUCCCAGUUCGGACUGCAGGCUGCAACUCGCCUGCACGAAGUCGGAAUUGCUAGUAAUCGUGGAUCAGCAUGCCACGGUGAAUACGUUCCCGGGCCUUGCAC